Acanthosepion pharaonis is the source of this 110-nucleotide non-coding RNA. Lineage: Eukaryota; Metazoa; Mollusca; Cephalopoda; Sepiida; Sepiidae. The record is from the annotation of a GenBank genome assembly.
CGGACACAUCACGCUGAAACAGCAGUUGCUGUACAAUCUCUGAAGUUAAGCAACAUCGGGCCUGAUUUGUAGCUAGAUGGGUGACCGCCUUGGAAUACCAGGUGCUGUGA